Molecule: ribosomal RNA, 449 nt
Filed under: uncultured bacterium
Lineage: Bacteria
Description: partial 16S ribosomal RNA
Rfam family: Bacterial small subunit ribosomal RNA
Source: RNAcentral
AGCGAACGCUGGCGGCAGGCCUAAAACAUGCAAGUCGAACGCCGUAGCAAUACGGAGUGGCAGACGGGUGAGUAACACGUGGGAACGUGCCCUUUGGUUCGGAACAACACAGGGAAACUUGUGCUAAUACCGGAUAAGCCCUUACGGGGAAAGAUUUAUCGCCAAAGGAUCGGCCCGCGUCUGAUUAGCUAGUUGGUGGGGUAACGGCCCACCAAGGCUACGAUCAGUAGCCGGUCUGAGAGGAUGAUCAGCCACACUGGGACUGAGACACGGCCCAGACUCCUACGGGAGGCAGCAGUUAGGAAUCUUGGACAAUGGGCGCAAGCCUGAUCCAGCCAUGCCGCGUGAGUGAUGAAGGCCUUAGGGUUGUAAAGCUCUUUCAGCGGGGAAGAUAAUGACGGUACCCGCAGAAGAAGCCCCGGCUAACUUCGUGCCAGCCGCCGCCGUAA